RNAcentral lists this ribosomal RNA (534 nucleotides) under uncultured archaeon. RNAcentral's name for it is "bacterial SSU rRNA". It matches the Rfam family "Archaeal small subunit ribosomal RNA", at positions 333 to 867 of the family's 1478-position model. The record is from RNAcentral.
CACCAGGCGCGAAAACUUUACAAUGCGGGAAACCGUGAUAAGGGGACACCGAGUGCCAGCAUCAUAUGCUGGCUGUCCAGGUGUGUAAAAUACACCUGUUAGCAAGGGCCGGGCAAGACCGGUGCCAGCCGCCGCGGUAACACCGGCGGCCCGAGUGGUGAUCGUGAUUAUUGGGUCUAAAGGGUCCGUAGCCGGUUUGGUCAGUCCUCCGGGAAAUCUGACGGCUCAACCGUUAGGCUUUCGGGGGAUACUGCCAGGCUUGGAACCGGGAGAGGUAAGAGGUACUACAGGGGUAGGAGUGAAAUCUUGUAAUCCCUGUGAGACCACCUGUGGCGAAGGCGUCUUACCAGAACGGGUUCGACGGUGAGGGACGAAAGCUGGGGGCACGAACCGGAUUAGAUACCCGGGUAGUCCCAGCCGUAAACGAUGCUCGCUAGGUGUCAGGCAUGGCGCGACCGUGUCUGGUGCCGCAGGGAAGCCGUGAAGCGAGCCACCUGGGAAGUACGGCCGCAAGGCUGAAACUUAAAGGAAUGG